RNAcentral lists this long non-coding RNA (789 nucleotides) under Malus domestica (apple). RNAcentral's name for it is "long non-coding RNA (MDOM_LNC005430)". Lineage: Eukaryota; Viridiplantae; Streptophyta; Magnoliopsida; Rosales; Rosaceae. The record is from RNAcentral.
CUUCUGUUUCCACCGCCGUAACUGUCAUACACAGGUCUUCCAUAGUAACCAUCAUAUUGUAUGUAUGGGGCAGGCCCACCGCCAUAACCAUUGUAGCAUGGCCCACCUGGAUGCCCCUGGUAACAAUCCAUACAACACGCGUUUACUUGGACAGGCGGUGGGUACCCUGGCACAACAGGACCCGGCUGCACUGGAGGAGGAGAAGGCUUCACUGGCUCAGCCGGUGGCGGUGCAGGUUUUGGCGGUUUCACUGGCUCCGCUGGUGGCGGUGCAGGUUUAGGAUUUUCAGGUUCCUUGGGUUUAUCUGCCGGUUUAGGUUUUUCAGGCUCUUUGGGUUUCUCUGCCGGUUUAGGUUUUUCAGGCUCUUUGGGUUUCUCAGUCGUCGGUUUAGGUUUUUCGGGCACUUUGGGUUUCUCUGCCGGUUUAGGUUUUUCGGGCUCUUUGGGUUUCUCGGCCGGUGGUGGCUUGGGCUUCUCUGGCUCUUUGAUCUCAAUGCUUUUUAUGGCACCUCCACCUUUGCAGCAAAUCUUGUCCCUUAUCUUUUCUGGACUACAGCAUACCACUUUGAUCACCACUUGGUUUUGCUUCUCGUCGUAUAUCUGGUCUCGUAUUUCUCUUGUUCACAAACACACAUUUUAUUUACUUAGUUUACGUUUUAUCCAAAAUUAAUCUUAGUUUCCCAAAAAGAAAGAACUUUAACUCGGUUGCUCAUCUAGUAAUUAUAGACAACUCAAGGAGAAGAGAGACUCACGGGGGAAUUUACAGAGAACUUUUUUGACCUUCUUAUAG